This 253-nucleotide ribosomal RNA is filed under the name uncultured bacterium. RNAcentral's name for it is "partial 16S ribosomal RNA". It matches the Rfam family "Bacterial small subunit ribosomal RNA", at positions 524 to 776 of the family's 1533-position model. The record is from RNAcentral.
UACGGAGGGUGCAAGCGUUGUCCGGAUUUAUUGGGUUUAAAGGGUGCGUAGGCGGCCAUUUAAGUCCGGGGUGAAAGCCCACUGCUCAACAGUGGAACUGCCUUGGAAACUGGAUGGCUUGAGUACAGACGAGGGUGGCGGAAUGGAUACUGUAGCGGUGAAAUGCAUAGAUAGUAUCCAGAACACCGAUUGCGAAGGCAGCUGCCUAGACUGUAACUGACGCUGAGGCACGAAAGCGUGGGGAGCGAACAGG